This 382-nucleotide long non-coding RNA is filed under the name Monodelphis domestica (gray short-tailed opossum). RNAcentral's name for it is "lncRNA (ENSMODG00000038665.1)". The record is from RNAcentral. Lineage: Eukaryota; Metazoa; Chordata; Mammalia; Didelphimorphia; Didelphidae.
AAAUCAUAGAUCUAUAGCUAGAAGGGAAGAAAGGUUAUUUAAUUAAUUUAUUUCAUUUUAUAGAUGAGGAGACUGAAACCAAGAAAGAUUAAGUGACUUACCCAAGGCCUCCAAAGUAGGAAGAAUACAAAAGUAGGAUUUGAAUUCAACUCAAAGUUCUGCAGGGAGAACUGCAGUGUUAUUUCUACUGCUUCUUUUCCACUGUUUCUCAAGGGAAAAGUUUUCUUCUGGUGAUGUUCCAUGGCUGAAAAUCAUGAAGCACUACAAUCUUCGAAGAAUCAAAAGUAAUGACUGAAAAGGCAAUGGAAAGACUCAUUGUGGACAUCUGUCAUGGACAUGUAUGAUUAGAAAAGAGUAUGGGUCAACUAUAUAUCAAGAAUAA